This 575-nucleotide ribosomal RNA is filed under the name Filobasidium floriforme. RNAcentral's name for it is "eukaryotic LSU rRNA". It matches the Rfam family "Eukaryotic large subunit ribosomal RNA", at positions 98 to 659 of the family's 3401-position model. The record is from RNAcentral. Lineage: Eukaryota; Fungi; Basidiomycota; Tremellomycetes; Filobasidiales; Filobasidiaceae.
GCGGGAAGAGCUCAAAUUUGAAAUCUGGUGGCCUCAGGUCAUCCGAGUUGUAAUCUAUAGAAGUGUUUUCCGUGCUGGCUCAUGUACAAGUCCCUUGGAACAGGGCGUCAUAGAGGGUGAGAAUCCCGUCCUUGACAUGAACUACCAGUGCUCUGUGAUACAUUUUCAACGAGUCGAGUUGUUUGGGAAUGCAGCUCAAAAUGGGUGGUAAAUUCCAUCUAAAGCUAAAUAUUGGCGAGAGACCGAUAGCGAACAAGUACCGUGAGGGAAAGAUGAAAAGCACUUUGGAAAGAGAGUUAAACAGUAUGUGAAAUUGUUGAAAGGGAAACGAUUGAAGUCAGUCGUGCUCUUUGGAUUCAGCCGGUUCUGCCGGUGUACUUCCUUUGAGUGGGGUCAACAUCAGUUUUGAUCGCUGGAUAAAGGCUGGAGGAACGUAGUACCCUCGGGUAAACUUAUAGCCUCCUGUCACAUACAGUGGUUGGGACUGAGGAACGCAGCACGCCUUUAUGGCCGGGAUUCGUCCACGUACGUGCUUAGGAUGUUGACAUAAUGGCUUUAAACGACCCGUCUUGAAA